RNAcentral lists this ribosomal RNA (406 nucleotides) under uncultured bacterium. RNAcentral's name for it is "partial 16S ribosomal RNA". It matches the Rfam family "Bacterial small subunit ribosomal RNA", at positions 28 to 526 of the family's 1533-position model. The record is from RNAcentral.
GACGAACGCUGGCGGCGCGCUUAACACAUGCAAGUCGAGCGAAGCGGCGGACGGGUGAGUAACACGUGAGUAACCUGCCUUAGACAUUGGGAUAGCCUCGGGAAACAGGGAUUAAUACCGAAUAGUCUAAGAUGGACUCGCGUCCCAUUAGCUAGUUGGUGGGUAACGGCCCACCAAGGCGACGCGGGGUAGCCGGACUGUGAGGUUGAACGGCCACAUUGGAACGGAGAAACGGUCCAAACUCUACGGGAGGCAGCAGUGGGGAAUAUUGCACAACGGAGGGAAUUCUGAUGCAGCGACGCUGCUUGAACGAAGAAGGCUUGCGAGUCGUAAAGUUCUUUUAUAUGGGAAGCGGUACCAUAAGAAAAAGCCCCGGCUAACUACGUGCCAGCCGCCGCGGUAAUUC